Fukomys damarensis (Damara mole-rat) is the source of this 106-nucleotide small nuclear RNA. Lineage: Eukaryota; Metazoa; Chordata; Mammalia; Rodentia; Bathyergidae. The record is from Ensembl.
GUCUCAAAAAUUAAAACAUGAAAUGAAGUGAGAGUGAUAAAGAGAAGAUUAGCAUGGCCCCUCUGCAAAGGAUGACAUGCAGAUUUAAGAAGCAUUGCAUAUUUUU